CCUCCUUAAGGUACCAUUCAGUUAAAAUUUCCUUUAAAAAAGAGGUACUACACUUGACAAUCAAAAGCAACAUUUCUGAUAGACAAGUUGUUACACAGAAACAAAAAAAAAAAUAAAAAUAUUAUUGUGAAAAUAAUCCUAACCCUAAUAAUUAAAAUAAUUAUUAUAAUUGUUGUUGUUGCCUUAUCCAUGAGAUUUGUGACUGUUUUAAACAAGUUAACAGUCGAGGAUCACAAGAUACUGACUUGAGGCUUAAUGUGAGAAAAAAUAUUUAUAAAUAUUGUUGUAGAACCAACACAUUCCUUUUUCCGCCCAUAAUCUAAAAUUAAAAAGUGAAUUUUAAUUAUAUUUAAUUUUGAACAUUUUUUUUUUUUUAUAUUCACUGAUAAAUAUUAAAAUUCCCUUACCUUCCCAAAUUUCUCACUUACAACAGUGACCCACUCAUCGUGCGAAGUAUGCCCGUCUUUUUUUUUGACCACGAAAAUUGUUGUACUAUUUCCUGGCUCAUGCAAUACUUUAAGUUUGACAUGCCUGCACACGCAUAUACACGUAUACAUUCAAAUAUUUUAGAUUCUCAGUGGAGCGAAAAAACUUAUGGUUUUACUAAGAUGUUUAUAUAUUUUUUUUUUGUUGCGGACAACUUUUCUACAAGAGAACUUGCUCCGAUUUUUACGUUUAGCACCUUUUCUAAAAGGAAAUCGGUGUGGAGAGAUACUUAAAGGAAGUCAUUUUUCGAUUUUCUCAAGAGUUUUUUCAACAAAUUUGAAAAACCAAAAAAAAAACAAGGAAAAAGUAUGAAAAACGGGAAAAUUGAUAUAUUAAAAAAUUAUUAUUAAAAAUAAUAUAUAAUGCCUCUUUUAUUAUUUUACCAUAAUAUAACAUAUAUAUAUAUUGCUAACAAAGCAUCACUACCAAAUUAACUCUGUUCAGAAUCGUUUUUUCGUUAGCAAUGGUUAAUCAUUGCUAACAAAUAUACAUUAAAUUACCUAUAACAGUGGCUGCACCCGUCCCCAUUAUCCUAGGACGUUUUUUAUUCUUGGAAACACGUUAGAAUGAAACAUUAGAAUGCUUGGAGUUAAGUAUGACCGGAAUAGCAUUUUACAUUAUAGUGAUUUUUAUGAAAAGUCUUUAUAUUAUGUAAUGACA
This is a non-coding RNA of Cinara cedri, 1146 nucleotides long. NCBI's taxonomy places the organism in Eukaryota, Metazoa, Arthropoda, Insecta, Hemiptera, Aphididae. The record is from the annotation of a GenBank genome assembly.